AUUGAACGCUGGCGGUAGGCCUAACACAUGCAAGUCGAACGCGAAAGUCCCUUCGGGAGUGAGUAGAGUGGCGGACGGGUGAGUAACGCGUAGGAAUCUAUCCUGUAGUGGGGGAGUAACGUUUCGAAAGGAACGCUAAUACCGCAUACGCCCCAACGGGGGAAAGGACGGGGGAGUCUUCGGACCUCCGUGCUAUAGGAGGAGCCUGCGUCGGAUUAGCUAGUUGGUGAGGUAAAGGCUCACCAAGGCGACGAUCCGUAGCUGGUCUGAGAGGAUGAUCAGCCACACCGGAACUGAGACACGGUCCGGACUCCUACGGGAGGCAGCAGUGGGGGAAUAUUGCGCAAUGGGCGGAAAAGCCUGACGCAGCCAUACCGCGUGUGUGAAGAAGG
RNAcentral lists this ribosomal RNA (392 nucleotides) under uncultured bacterium. RNAcentral's name for it is "bacterial SSU rRNA". It matches the Rfam family "Bacterial small subunit ribosomal RNA", at positions 29 to 414 of the family's 1533-position model. The record is from RNAcentral.